This 438-nucleotide ribosomal RNA is filed under the name uncultured bacterium. Its description in RNAcentral is "bacterial SSU rRNA". It matches the Rfam family "Bacterial small subunit ribosomal RNA", at positions 339 to 794 of the family's 1533-position model. The record is from RNAcentral.
GUACGGGAGGCAGCAGUGGGGAAUCUUGCACAAUGGGGGAAACCCUGAUGCAGCGACGCCGCGUGAGCGAUGAAGCCCUUCGGGGUGUAAAGCUCUUUCGGCAGGAACGAUAAUGACGGUACCUGCAGAAGAAGCUGCGGCUAACUACGUGCCAGCAGCCGCGGUAAUACGUAGGCAGCGAGCGUUGUUCGGAGUUACUGGGCGUAAAGAGUAUGUAGGCGGUUUUGCAAGUUUGGUGUGAAAUCUCCCGGCUCAACUGGGAGGGUGCGCCGAAAACUGCAAGGCUUGAGUGUGGGAGAGGAAAGCGGAAUUCCUGGUGUAGCGGUGAAAUGCGUAGAUAUCAGGAGGAACACCGGCGGUGUAGACGGCUUUCUGGACCAUUACUGACGCUGAGAUACGAAAGCGUGGGGAGCAAACAGGAUUAGAUACCCUGGUAGU